AAGUCAUACACAUCUGGGAUGGCAUGAGGGUAAAUAAAUGAUGAGAGAACUUUCAUUUUUGGGCAAAUUAUCACAAUAAUUAACCCCUUAUGGAUGUUUAAUGAAUAUUUAAUAUUUGAGCCCACACACAAAACUGACAUGUUUUUCAUUUUAGCUGCGCAAACCCUUGAUAGAGAAGAAACGCAGAGAGCAGAUAAACUCAAGCCUUGAGCAACUUAAGGGCAUUAUGGUGGAUGUCUACAAUUUGGAUCAAUCUAAAGUGGAGAAGGCUGAUGUUCUUGAGAUAACAGUUCAGCACAUGGAAAACCUUCAAAAAGGCAAUGGACAAGAUAUUAAUAUCUGAAAUACCAGGAGAAACCAAAGUUAACAACAUAUUCCACAGUUAAUGUUGCCUACAAAUUCAGCAUCAUCUGGUAGUCACGGACCAGGCACUGGGUUUGAGUCUCGACAAAGAUACAGUAGUGGUUAUAUUCAGUACAUGCACGAGGUGCAUAACUUGCUCCUGAGCUGCCCUCGGAUGGACACGUCUCUUGGCACAUGUCUGCUAAACCAUUUGCUGAAAUCUUUGCCAAAUAUUAGUACUGAGGCCAGUAGCACGAGUUCUGUUGGCACCUCCAGUCCUCUUCCAGUAUCCCCUACCCAUUCCCCUCUAAGCCUGCCCUCCUUACAGUCCCACCUGCACACUCCUCCCUCCUCUCCCUCCCACUCUCCUAGAGUCCAACUCAUUAGAGAGCGAAGUUACGCCAUACUCAGAGAACAGCUCUCUCCACCCAGGUCUCCUUCCCCUCAGCCUCUGGGACAAUCAGCCCUUCCCCCGUUCUUUCCUUGGGGUGAUCCCUCCAUGUGGAGGCCCUGGUGAAUGAAUCCAGCCCAGCCCCCAUUUGCCUUUUCUGGCCUGCCCUCCCAUAUCAAAUCGUUUCCAUUACAUUUGAUCUCUUGGGAGGUUGGAGUGCUUUCCAUUCAGAGGGGGCUGGAUACAUAAUAUUGGGUUACACAGUCUCUUGGUGUUUUGUGGUAUCAUUUGAAGCACUGUACUGCAUGUUUGGUUGAUUAUGUUAUUUGCAUGCUUUGAGGGUAUGAACAAAAAUGUGUGAUGACACCAAAGUCACCCUCUUUGACUCACAUUUCGAUAUUGUAUGUUAGUAUUCAUCUAGAGGAAUUGCUGUCUUGACCACUUUUAGCACAACUUAAUGUCUUGUAUUGGGCAAGAUUAGAUUACCUUAGUUAGGGGGCUUUGUUUGUGUUGAUUUUUUUUUUCUCUCUGACCUUUUUAUUUUUUCAUAUUAUUUUACAUAAUUAAGUUGUAGAAAUUGUAUAUUUUGGGCAUGUAGUAAAGGGGUUCUGUUGAAAUUUUAUGCAUGUUUCUUACCUUAAAUGCAAAUCUCUGUAAUCUGUGGACCAAUAGUGGCUUAGAAUGGGUAAAAUGGAGGAGAUGAACAUUUGUGAAAAGUACUCCAUCCUUGUAUAUUACAAGAAGAGGGGAGUCAGACUAGUACCUCAUAUUGAAGCAGUUAAAACUGAUUUUCUUUACUAAAAAUCAGAACUGUGUAUUGAUUUUAUACACUCAAAACAUUUAAAAAUGAUGAAUGUGAUAAUUGUGAUGUUGGAAGAAUAUAAAUAAAUGUAUAUGACAUUGAUCAGUUUAGACCUUUGCCAUUU
Molecule: long non-coding RNA, 1659 nt
Organism: Myxocyprinus asiaticus (Chinese sucker)
Lineage: Eukaryota; Metazoa; Chordata; Actinopteri; Cypriniformes; Catostomidae
Exons: 4
Source: RefSeq, a predicted model, not a curated record